This 459-nucleotide ribosomal RNA is filed under the name uncultured bacterium. RNAcentral's name for it is "bacterial SSU rRNA". It matches the Rfam family "Bacterial small subunit ribosomal RNA", at positions 29 to 524 of the family's 1533-position model. The record is from RNAcentral.
AACGAACGCUGGCGGCAUGCCUAACACAUGCAAGUCGAACGGGAUCCUAGCUUGCUAGGUGAGAGUGGCGGACGGGUGAGUAACACGUGGGAAUCUGCCUUUUGGUUCGGGAUAACCGCGGGAAACUGCGGCUAAUACCGAAUGCCCUCGUGAGAGGAAAGAUUUAUCGCCAGAAGAGGAGCCCGCGUCCGAUUAGGUAGUUGGUGGGGUAAAGGCCUACCAAGCCGACGAUCGGUAGCUGGUCUGAGAGGAUGAUCAGCCACACUGGGACUGAGAUACGGCCCAGACUCCUACGGGAGGCAGCAGUGGGGAAUAUUGGACAAUGGGGGGCAACCCUGAUCCAGCAAUGCCGCGUGAGUGAUGAAGGCCUUAGGGUUGUAAAGCUCUUUUACCAGGGAUGAUAAUGACAGUACCUGGAGAAUAAGCUCCGGCUAACUCCGUGCCAGCAGCCGCGGUAAU